Molecule: ribosomal RNA, 866 nt
Filed under: uncultured bacterium
Lineage: Bacteria
Description: bacterial SSU rRNA
Rfam family: Bacterial small subunit ribosomal RNA
Source: RNAcentral
UCGAACGAGGUCCAAACCGAUCUUCGGAUUGGUGAAGACUUAGUGGCGAACGGGUGCGUAACACGUGAGAAACCUGCCCCGGUCUCUGGAAUAACAGUUGGAAACGACUGCUAAUACCGGAUGCCGUCGGACCAUCGCAUGGUGGACCGACGAAAGGGUUACCGGACUGGGAGGGUCUCGCAGCCUAUCAGCUUGUUGGUGAGGUAACGGCUCACCAAGGCAUCGACGGGUAGCUGGUCUGAGAGGAUGGUCAGCCACACUGGGACUGAGACACGGCCCAGACCCCUACGGGAGGCAGCAGUAGGGAAUAUUGCACAAUGGGCGAAAGCCUGAUGCAGCAACGCCGCGUGCGGGAAGAAGGCCCUAGGGUUGUAAACCGCUUUCAGCAGGGAAGAAAAUGACGGUACCUGCAGAAGAAGGUGCGGCCAACUACGCGCCAGCAGCCGCGGUGACACGUAGGCACCAAAGCGUUGUCCGGAUUUAUUGGGCGUAAAGAGCUCGUAGGCGGUUCAGUUGGUCGGGUGUGAAAACUCUGGGCUUAACCCAGAGACGCCACUCGAUACUGCUGUGACUAGAGUGCGGUAGGGGAGCGGGGAAUUCCUAGUGUAGCGGUGAAAUGCGCAGAUAUUAGGAGGAACACCAGUGGCGAAGGCGCCGCUCUGGGCCGUAACUGACGCUGAGGAGCGAAAGCGUGGGUAGCAAACAGGAUUAGAUACCCUGGUAGUCCACGCCGUAAACGUUGGGCACUAGGUGUGGGUCUCAACCAACGAGAUCCGCGCCGUCGCUAACGCAUUAAGUGCCCCGCCUGGGGAGUACGGCCGCAAGCUAAAACUCAAAGGAAUUGACGGGGGCCCGCUCAACAGCGG